Molecule: long non-coding RNA, 3740 nt
Organism: Athene cunicularia (burrowing owl)
Lineage: Eukaryota; Metazoa; Chordata; Aves; Strigiformes; Strigidae
Exons: 4
Source: RefSeq, a predicted model, not a curated record
AUCUGCUGGCCUGAGAGAGUGACUGCAGACAAAUCCAUCCUUCAGCCUCUUUCAGGAUGUAUCAUGUUCAACAGAUAUGAAAGGACAUAAGGAAGGGGGAAUCAAUUCUCUUGCUGGCAUGAUGCCCCUUAUUUGGUGCUGUGGAAUAAGAAGGAUGUGAGAAAAAUAGGAACAGGAAAGCAGAAAAACGCUGUAGAGAGGGCAGACUGUCAGCAUAUGUAGAUCAUAAAUGCACAUUGAGUCAUCCCUAAUUUGGCAAGAUAUCUAUUGGAGGGAAAAUUAAUCUGAUAUUGCAUGCAGCAUUAACCAGUGGAGGGCAAGAAAAAGGAAAGGAAAUGGAGACAGCUACAGGCUGCGAAGACCUAAGAAGGUACACUGAGCCAGUGGAGAGGAGGAUGAUUCACAGGAACAGAGAAAGGAUUAAAUGACAAACAGCAUUCUCCAGCCCAGUGAUUCAUCUGGAAGAGAAGAGUUAUGGAUUCAGGUGCUUGUGCUACUUGUUUGGAAUUCAGUGUCUCAGUUUGGUCACAGCUGUAGACGGAGUAAGAAUAAGGCACUUUAUUCUCUCUGUUUAAUUCAGCAUUGUAGAUUUUGCUUAUGGAACAAGGUACCUGAAUUUGAAGCAUAGUGGCUUCAGCAAUACCUCUGGAGAUUUUGUCCUAGAUUCUUAAGCUCAUCGAAUAACCAAAAAAAAAGAAAAAAAAAAUUUAAAAUCAUAUCUCCAUGUCUUCUUGAAUGUGUGGUUCACUGAAGCUCACUUAAAUCGGACAUAAAUGCAUAAGAACAAAUUUUAGACAUUUUGUCAGCAUCUUCUUUGAAGGUGGCCUAAAUGGUCUUAUAACAGUUUUCACCUUCCUUUAAUUUGAUUUGCUGAUGAUUCCAAUAAUUUAAGGGAGAGGAAAAGCACACCUGAAAAUGAACAACGUGUAGCAUGUUCUCGACUGCAGUUUUGGUAUCUGCUUUAAAGGUAUUGCUUAAUCAUUAAAAAGCUAUUGGCAACAAAGUUGUAGAAAUGAAGGUUACUACUAAAACUGCCCUAAAAAUUGCAGAUAAGAGUGGUUUAAAACAGGACUGUAACAAUCAUAUAAGUCAAUUACUGGUAGCUGUACAGGUGAACGUUGUAGUAUGCCCGCUAGAAAAUGGACUCACACCUGCAGCUUCCUUAUCUUCAGGAUGCUUAAUUUACUGAGAUUUGUCCAACGUUGACAAGGAAUGAGAAUUGUGUGGUUGGAAAGGAAAUCAGAAAUAUCCAGUUUAAAACAAUAGCCAAGAACCUCAUGAAAAUGUGUGUAUUUCACUAAUAAACACUACUUCAAACCUGUUUGUGAAUAUAUAUUUCAUUCGACUUUCUUGGCACAAGAUUAGCCUUUCUGGUCUAUUUAUGUGAAGUAUGUGAGUAAAAGGUCAACAGCAGCAAAUCCAAGUAUCAGCUACAUAUUUCAUACACUCCUUUUCAACACAUCUAAUGCUAUCUCUAUUCCUCACAGCUAUUCCAUUUUGUACCAAGUAAAAGACUAGUGGAAGAAGAACUACCCAAUACUUUCCAGUCCCUAAAAUUGCCACCCUUAUACAAUUUCAUUUAAGACAACGAUUUUGACAGUUUCUUCCCCUUUGUUAGGUCUCGUCAUAUUGCUAGGCUGCUGCUUAUGUUCUUUCACACAGCACUCAUAGAUUUGAACCUUCUUCGGUAUGACUGUGCAGCAGCUUUGGCUCUGGACAAAGCUUUUCUUGCAACAGGCUUUCCAUUUCUUCACAGACAGGAUGGGGCAGUCCAGAUCCCAUAGACACAUGAGAGCAAAACAGGGCUCUUUUCUAUCCCCACCCCUUUUCCAGAGCUUCGACUUUGUCAGCAUGCUGGAUUUACAAUUUAUAUCUGCUAGGACAUACAGUAUUUAAAACAACCAGGCAUUUUGCAGCAAUUCUAAAAGCCAGUCACUUUUUUUUUACCCUGGCUAGCACAAAAAAUACGUUGAUCUAAACAAAAUAGCACAUACGUACGCAACCUCAGAAUCUCACAAGUGCUCUUGCUUCUAUACCAUCAGCUGCAACAGAAGGCUAAAGAAUAGGAAAAACAUUCCUGAUGGAAAGAUGUGCUCCAGUUCCUUUCAUAACUCGUUACACCUUUGUAAGUCCUUUCAAUUCUGCUCCUACUUAAACUCAACAGUUUUGAGGAUUUGGCAAAGCAUUAAGACCUGAGCUAUUUUUUCUCCUGCUGAAAAUCUUCUGGUUGGUAAAGUCAAGUUUCCUAUUGUGAAGGAAAAGAAAGCUUUUUUUAUUUUUUUAAAUGGGAUAUUUUAAGAUGCUCCUACAUAACCAAGAGCUAUCAAAAUUCAGCAACAAUAUUUAAUGCUUGGCAUAGAAACAGCCCUGAAAAACGUCACUGACAUACAGAGCACAUACACCAUUGUGACAAUGUCCUAAUCUUUGUGAAUUAUGGGAUCUCAACCAGAAUUCACAAACUGUACACAGACUGAAUCUCCAGACUGUCAGAAAUACACGUAAGUAGUAUCUAACUUUAUCUUGAAAAGGUCCUUAUCUGUUACGAAUUACAGUACAUUGCCUCACAGCUCUAUUACAGCAUUCAGAAUUGUUUCAUUAUUUCAGAUCAUUGAAUACUACAGCUUAUACGACACUCAGGAGGCCUUUUUCAGGAAAAACAAAAGAUAAUUCCUGUCACAGGUAGCUUAUUAUCCCUGCCCUUAUAUCGAACACAACUGUUACGGGACUCCAAAACUUCAGUAUUGCAUCAUGGUUCAUAAUGUAGGCUUUCUCACUGAUGUACAGAAGUUUAUGGCAGCCUUCACAAAUGAAGUUUUAUUAAGCUGAGUUUAAAACAUGAAGAAGCAAAGACUUGCCAAGUGAGUUCAAACAAAGCUGGUGGUAGAAGCAGACACGUAGCACCGGAUUUUGAGUUCCAACACCUUUGCUUACAUGCUAGGAGACUGAACCUUCUCUUUCAAACAGUUAGAAAACGAUAGCGGCAGCAAAUCAGUCUUUGUUCAACCAAAGCUACAGAAUUCUUUUUUGUGCAAAAUUAGAUCUCUCCGGACACUAUCUCUUCAAGCAUACAUGAUGUAUGCAGUUUGUCUUUUUUCUAAAAAACAAGAAACAUUAGUCAAUUCAGCAGAAAGAGUGCUUGUGGAUUCCUGUGGGCUCAUAUCAUCACAAAAGGAACUGACUAGUUUGAUCCAGACUGUAUGCAGGUGAUGAUAUGUCCAUCCUGCUGAUUCUGAUUUAAUAAGCAGCUUCAAUUGGCUAUAAAAUAAAAACCUGCAUCUUUAUGGGUCUGGGCGCUUUUUUUGUUUGUUUUGGGGUUGUUUUUUUUUUUUUUUGUUUUAGUUUUGGUUUUUUGUUGUUGUAAGUCAUGCACAUUGAGAAUCAGAAUGCUUUGUCAGAUAAUGCUUUCAGUUGAUGCUUUUGGAGACUUGAAUGCAUGUAGCUCCUGACAAUGAUUAUAUGCACGUGUUCCAUAUAAUUCCAAAAGCACACCCAUUAUGAAAGAUUAGUACAGUUGUGCUUAUGAUGUAUUUAGGUCGUCUGUUACUGAAUAUUUCUACUGUCAGUACAACAAAAGUGUGAUGAUCACAGUUAAAGCUUAACAAAGAAAAUGCUGUCAGGCAAUUAGUAAGCUGAAGUCAGCAGUACUAAAGUGAAAUAUAUCAUGUUUGGAAUAGCGGAGUGGUUUGCUUGUGAUAAAUGUUGAAACAGGUCCUCAUACACAAAACAUAUCCUAGCCUUGG